This 522-nucleotide ribosomal RNA is filed under the name uncultured Paraglomeraceae. RNAcentral's name for it is "SSU rRNA". It matches the Rfam family "Eukaryotic small subunit ribosomal RNA", at positions 569 to 1092 of the family's 1831-position model. Lineage: Eukaryota; Fungi; Glomeromycota; Glomeromycetes; Paraglomerales. The record is from RNAcentral.
AGCAGCCGCGGUAAUUCCAGCUCCAAUAGCGUAUAUUAAAGUUGUUGCAGUUAAAAAGCUCGUAGUUGAACUUCAGGCCUGUCCAGAUGGUCCGCCUUAAUUGGUGUGUACUGUCCUUGGGUGGGUCCUACCUUCUGGCGAAGCGGCAUGGCCUUAGUUGGUUGUGUCGGGGAAGCAGGACUUUUACUGUGAAAAAAUUAGAGUGUUCAAAGCAGGCAUAUAUGCUCGAAUACAUUAGCAUGGAAUAAUGGAAUAGGACGAUGGUUCUAUUUUGUUGGUUCUAGGACCGUUGUAAUGAUUAAUAGGGAUAGUUGGGGGCAUUAGUAUUCAAUUGUCAGAGGUGAAAUUCUUGGAUUUAUUGAAGACUAACUACUGCGAAAGCAUUUGCCAAGGAUGUUUUCAUUAAUCAAGAACGAAAGUUAGGGGAUCGAAGACGAUCAGAUACCGUCGUAGUCUUAACCAUAAACUAUGCCGACUAGGAAUCGGGCGAUGUUGACAAAAUGACUCGCUCGGCACCUCAUG